RNAcentral lists this ribosomal RNA (497 nucleotides) under uncultured bacterium. RNAcentral describes it as "partial 16S ribosomal RNA". It matches the Rfam family "Bacterial small subunit ribosomal RNA", at positions 28 to 507 of the family's 1533-position model. The record is from RNAcentral.
GAUGAACGCUGGCGGCGUGCCUAAUACAUGCAAGUCGAGCGAACGGACGAGAAGCUUGCUUCUCUGAUGUCAGCGGCGGACGGGUGAGUAACACGUGGAUAACCUACCUAUAAGACUGGGAUAACUUCGGGAAACCGGAGCUAAUACCGGAUAAUAUUUUGAACCGCAUGGUUCAAAAGUGAAAGACGGUCUUGCUGUCACUUAUAGAUGGAUCCGCGCUGCAUUAGCUAGUUGGUAAGGUAACGGCUUACCAAGGCAACGAUGCAUAGCCGACCUGAGAGGGUGAUCGGCCACACUGGAACUGAGACACGGUCCAGACUCCUACGGGAGGCAGCAGUAGGGAAUCUUCCGCAAUGGGCGAAAGCCUGACGGAGCAACGCCGCGUGAGUGAUGAAGGUCUUCGGAUCGUAAAACUCUGUUAUUAGGGAAGAACAUAUGUGUAAGUAACUGUGCACAUCUUGACGGUACCUAAUCAGAAAGCCACGGCUAACUACGUG